CCAACGGCCCUCUUUAGGGCCACAAGUUGAUACGAAUACAUUGAC
Molecule: non-coding RNA, 45 nt
Organism: Oesophagostomum dentatum (nodular worm)
Lineage: Eukaryota; Metazoa; Nematoda; Chromadorea; Rhabditida; Strongylidae
Source: Rfam